Long non-coding RNA from Dendroctonus ponderosae (mountain pine beetle), 432 nucleotides. RefSeq lists it as uncharacterized. The transcript has 2 exons. The record is from RefSeq and is a predicted model, not a curated record. NCBI's taxonomy places the organism in Eukaryota, Metazoa, Arthropoda, Insecta, Coleoptera, Curculionidae.
UAUAUGUAUGCCAGGAGUGUUUGUAUGCCACGAGUGUUGCUUUCUUCCUGGGCCUCAACGUCCCUCUAUUUUUCUCCCUCGUUCUUUGUAGAAUUAGUUUAGGAAUGUAAUAUUUCCAAUCCAAAUACAUGAUUUUAUUUAAUUCGAUUUAAAAACGUUUGUGUAACCUUUUUCAUUCAAUAAAUUUGAUUGAGAAAGUAACACGGUCAUUAUUCUAACUUUAAUACAAACUAUUGCAGCUUGAAGAAGGUUUUUUUUCUAGAGCACAAUACUACGUUCCCAUUCACCCAUGGAUCCUCGGUUGUCAGGCAGUAUUAACGUUUUUUGUAUUGGCCAAUUUUACUUUGGCAACUUUUAUGGACCCUGGCAUUAUACCACAAGCCCCGGCCGACGAAGAUAGAGAUGAUGAUUUCCGAGCGCCUUUAUAUAAAA